GUCAACGUCAUUAUGCGUGUUUUGGUUUAUUUACGAACAUAUUAUGCUUGCAAAAACGUUAGUUUUAAGCAGUUCGUUUGCGGUUUUGAAUGCAGUAUUGCAUCGCUAUGGUGAGAUAGACGAUCAUCACAAAAAUUGGAAGAAAUUACUGCGCUGCCCAAUGUCAUCUUUUGGGGUCAAAAGAGACAUGCAGCCAAAUAAAAAACAUUUCCGGAGCACCAUAUCAAUACCUUUGCGGCGAAAGAUGAAAUAGGUUCGGAGCUGACUAGUGCUCGUUGGGCAAUCCCCUCACGAACACCCCACAUACCGCAGCACCAUGGAAGAGCCACAACGGGAUUCCUCUUCCAUCGUCAGCGGAUGCUUGUGCCGUUUUGAAUUACUGGAUUGAUUCUCAAGGAUUCCUACGAAGUCGCGCCACCGACUCAACGUUGACUUUCCAAUUCUCGCAGGCCGUGACGUGCAAAGUCAAAGUUUAAGCCACUCGAAUUAAAAGUCAAGUUGGUCAGUGCUUUUUCAACUUUCA
Molecule: long non-coding RNA, 523 nt
Organism: Uranotaenia lowii
Lineage: Eukaryota; Metazoa; Arthropoda; Insecta; Diptera; Culicidae
Exons: 4
Source: RefSeq, a predicted model, not a curated record